AGCCGCGGUAAUACGGGGGAUGCAAGCGUUAUCCGGAAUCAUUGGGCGUAAAGCGCCUGUAGGUUGUUUAAUAAGUCUGUUGUUAAAGACUAGGGCUUAACCCUAGAAAAGCAAUGGAAACUACUAGACUAGAGUAUGGCAGGGGUAGAGGGAAUUUCUAGUGUAGCGGUGAAAUGCGUAGAUAUUAGAAAGAACACCGGUGGCGAAAGCGCUCUACUGGACCAUUACUGACACUCAGAGGCGAAAGCUAGGGUAGCAAAAGGGAUUAGAUACCCCUGUAGUCCUAGCCGUAAACGAUGGAUACUACAUGUUGUGCAUUAUGUACAGUAUGGUAGCUAACGCGUUAAGUAUCCCGCCUGGGGAGUACGCUCGCAAGGGUGAAACUCAAAGGAAUUGACGGGGGCCCGCACAAGCGGUGGAGCAUGUGGUUUAAUUCGAUGCAACGCGAAGAACCUUACCAGGACUUGACAUACUACAAAUUCUUUUGAGAAAAAGAAGUGCCUUCGGGAAUGUAGAUACAGGUGGUGCAUGGCUGUCGUCAGCUCGUGUCGUGAGAUGUUGGGUUAAGUCCCGCAACGAGCGCAACCCUUAUUUUUAGUUACCAAUUCGUUGGGUUCUCUAGAAAGACUGCCGGUGACAAACCGGAGGAAGGUGAGGAUGACGUCAAGUCAGCAUGCCCCUUAUGUCCUGGGCUACACACGUGCUACAAUGGUUAAGACAAAGAGUCGCGAGCUCGUGAGAGUCAGCUAAUCUCAUAAACUUAGCCCAAGUUCAGAUUGUAGGCUGCAACUCGCCUGCAUGA
RNAcentral lists this ribosomal RNA (802 nucleotides) under uncultured marine bacterium. Its description in RNAcentral is "bacterial SSU rRNA". It matches the Rfam family "Bacterial small subunit ribosomal RNA", at positions 513 to 1323 of the family's 1533-position model. The record is from RNAcentral.